Molecule: unclassified non-coding RNA, 345 nt
Filed under: soil metagenome
Description: partial contains 5.8S ribosomal RNA, internal transcribed spacer 2, and large subunit ribosomal RNA
Rfam family: 5.8S ribosomal RNA (bases 1-120)
Source: RNAcentral
GAUGAAGAACGCAGCGAAAUGCGAUACGUAAUGUGAAUUGCAGAAUUCAGUGAAUCAUCGAGUCUUUGAACGCACAUUGCGCCCCCUGGUAUUCCGGGGGGCAUGCCUGUCCGAACGUCAUUGCUGCCCUCAAGCACGGCUUGUGUGUUGGGCCUCCGUCCUCCUCCCGGGGGACGGGCCCGAAAGGCAGCGGCGGCACCGCGUCCGGUCCUCGAGCGUAUGGGGCUUCGUCACCCGCUCUUGUAGGCCCGGCCGGCGCUUGCCGACACAUCAAUCUUUUUUCCAGGUUGACCUCGGAUCAGGUAGGGAUACCCGCUGAACUUAAGCAUAUCAAUAAGCGGAGGA